This 1364-nucleotide long non-coding RNA is filed under the name Homo sapiens (human). RNAcentral describes it as "HSALNT0387962". Lineage: Eukaryota; Metazoa; Chordata; Mammalia; Primates; Hominidae. The record is from RNAcentral.
AUGCCAAGGGUAGAAGACAGACUAACCUCCUCUUUGAACAUAAAUAAAAAUUGAGAAAGCCAUUUAAAGGAUGUAAGGACGGCUUAGCCCAACCUGCUAGUGGCCAUCCCCACUUCCUGCCUCCUCCCUGAGUACUGGCUCUGCAGUCCUCCUACUGCUACUUGGCUUUUGGCUGGGGCAGAUGCUGCCGGAACUUUCCCUUGGCAGGUGGGAGGCUGGGGAGAUGAGAAGGUGGACCCCAUGCCAGGCUCAAGAGAAAUCUGGCCACACUGACAAGGCCACCCACCCACAUAGGAGUCCUGAAAAAGAUGAGAGGGAUGGCAGGGCAGGCACUGUUCCUGAGCACCAUUUACUGUGUGCUGAAGGUGAAAAUGCCACCUCUUCUCCUCCUCGCCACAAAGUCCAUGAGGUCGGCCUUAUGAUCCUCACAGUGUAGAGGGGCUAGCUAGGAGCAUGCUCAAGGUCCCAGCCUAGCAAGCGCGAAGCCUCACAUCUAGGUAUGUCUGGGAUCAGGCCCACGCUCUUUCCACCACACUGUGUUGCGUCUCUGUCAUCUGGGAAGUUAUGAAUGGUCUCAUGCUUUCUGAGUUAGAGCUACAGCAAAAGUAGUAAUGUGCACAAAACCAGUCCCCACCUGAGUUCCUUCUCCAGCCUCAGGAUUCUUUGAAGGGAAGAAGCAGUUCCUAGAACUCCUUGAAAUUACACUCAAAAUAGUGUGUGCAUGAUAUGGAUUUUUUUGACAAGAGCGUCGAUGCUUUCCAUUGGGUUCUUAAAAAGGAUCUAUGACUUUAAAAUGGUUAAUAACGAGUGCGUUGGGCAUUAUUUUGUCUGACUAUCUCUCUUGACAGAUAAGGAAAUGGAGUUCUUUGAACUCUAUUUUCUACUUUGAGUUACAGUGUUUAUUCUGCAGGAACAGCAGCACAGCCUGCGCAGUAUCUGCUCCUUCCUUAGUGCUGCGGAAACUUCCUAGUGAGGCCAAACAGCAGGGCCACUGCAACACUAGAUGAGCGCUGGUUCCCAGGCUGUUACUUGGAAGCCACUGAUAAAGAAGUCAUAUGACAGGAGUUCCAUGUCUUUCAUUUUUUGGCAAGGUUUCUAGAAACUUUGGUCCUUCCUAAGAAUAAAUACAAUCUGCACUGUUUUUACUCUUAUCAUCUGGAAGUCACUGCCAAAGCCAGGCCUUGGACUGAGCCCACAACCACACAAGCCUGGCUGAUUGAGCUUGAAUCUGCCGGAUCUAGAAUUCCACUUGAGUGCACAGAUGUCCUGGGAGUUUUUCUGCAUUUCCAUUAGUUUAAGAUGAAGGAUCUAUGAUGGAGGAUGAGGAUUGUGAGGGGUGUCCUCACCCACUUGUCCUGUUUAUU